Non-coding RNA from Manis javanica (Malayan pangolin), 1998 nucleotides. The record is from RefSeq and is a predicted model, not a curated record. NCBI's taxonomy places the organism in Eukaryota, Metazoa, Chordata, Mammalia, Pholidota, Manidae.
AAAGUAGAUUUUAAAAUAUAAAGAUCUGUAUAAAGGAUUAAUAAAAGUAGUUUGGAGACUAUUCAGAGAAAAUUAGGUAGAAUUUUCCAAGCAUAAAGAUGGCCCUGUCAUUUUCCACUCACCUAUCUCCAUCCUGACAACAUUAUAUUCUUCUCUUAUGAAUUCAUCUAUAUUUAAAUAGUCUAUAUAGAAAUAGUCUGAGUAGAUAUCUCUGCAGUGGGAACAUAACGGCUUUCCAAUUAAUAUCCUCAAAAUUGUUUUGUUUUCCUUAGAUUUACAUCACACACUUAACUGAGGAAAAGACAUUCAUGUUAUAUACCUAAAUACUUUUGAAAAUAUUAUUUUAAUUGUAACCCAACAAAACUCUUAUUUUCAUCUCAGAGAUUUCAGUCAUAGUAAGAAGAAAUCUCUUGUGUGUUUGCAAAGUAGCAAGCUUCUGUUAGCAAAAGGACAGUGUGGAAAAGUAUAAAAUACUAAAAAGGACAAAGAAUAAAAUAAAGACCAAUAAGUUUAAAUACAUUAUUCAGCCACUUUCCUGGAAGGAUGUCUGGCUUAUUGCAAUCUUACUUCUUUCUAUAACUCUUCUUUUUUGAUAGCUCCUGAAAAGCUAUGGCAAGGAAGAGGAACACAUUUUGGAAGCAGAAAAUAAAAAACUAAUAGAAGACCAGGAGAAAUUGAAAACUGAAUUAAAGAAGACUUCAGAUGGUUUUCCACUGUGGGCCACUGGGUGUCUUUCAGCUAGCUGCUGUCUCCCUUUGACACAUCCCAUCAUUGUGGAUUUUUUUGUCUUAAUUUUUUGAGUACUUCCUUAUUUUUUGAUACUGCAAGAUGUUCUGUGCUUAUCUUGUGUAUACCCUUCCCCAUUCCUAGAAUCAGUGUUUUAGGUUUUUUUUGUUAACUGGUUUCUGUGAUGCUGUUUGUUUGAUUUUGUUUUUAAUUUUGGAUUAGCAUGUGGUAUUUGUAACAUGACUAUAUUUUUAUCAAGAUAUUUAAAGAAUAGUCUGUUUGCUUUGUGGCUCUCUAGCUAUCCUGAAUAUUUUGUUUUUUGAUUAAAGAUAUAAUUGUUUUUAGUUGCAACCAGGCUUCCCAUCAAGUGGCUAAAGUAGUACCUCAUGUUUACCCAACAUUUAUCAUAUUUUUAAGAAAUGAAUUGGUUCCACACAAGUGAAUUUUUCAGAUGCUUAAAGCUUAGACUUUAUAUUUAUCUGUUCUUUCCUUCCUGCAAGGAAUGUAUUUAAGCACCUUCCAUGUGGUAGGCACUGUGCUGGGUGCUCAGAACAGAAACAAGGCAAAGCUCAUUUUCUUGAGCAGCCCACAGCCUCGUGGGGACAUAGUUAGCCUUCAGCAUGGUAAGUGCUGAAACAGAGGUCAGCUCAAGAAGAAGUAGGAGCCAGCAGUGGAGAUCAAGCACAAUUUCUUGACAUUUUGGAGGGUGAAUGUCAAUUAGCCAGAUGAAAUAGGAGAGAAUGAGUGAGACAGGGAGAUUAAAGGAGGAUAUUUAACAAAAUGAGCAGCAUGUAACUGAAACAGAGCGUGGCAUUUUUGAAGUAUAACAAGGGAGCUCCAUAUAAUUGGAACACAAAAUAAGAUGGCAGUGAUGAGAGUUGAGCAGAGGCCUAGGAUCCAUCUUGCAGGGACUCACAUGCCCUGUUUAUACAUUGACAUUUUGGGAGCACCAUUGGAAGGGCUUUUAGGAAGAAGAAGAAUCACUUUAACAGUACUGUGAACAAUGAGUUAGAGUAACCAGGAAACUACGUGAGGAACCCAUUUUAGUAAUCUAAAUUAGCGAUGAUAACAGUGGUAACAGAUGGAGUGGAGCAGAUGGAUUGGUGAGAUACAAAGGAAGUACAGUCAACAAACCUUAUCAACAUAUGGAUAGGAGGCUAUAAGACAAUGGGUAAUGAUGGGAAGGUGAUUAAUAAAACAGACCAGAUCUGACAAUAUAGGCAUGUACAAAAAUAACCAUAAUACAAUUAAAACCACAAUUUAUAUUCCUUA